Molecule: ribosomal RNA, 311 nt
Filed under: Chloroflexota bacterium
Lineage: Bacteria; Bacillati; Chloroflexota
Description: Chloroflexi bacterium (hydrothermal vent metagenome) partial 23S ribosomal RNA
Rfam family: Bacterial large subunit ribosomal RNA
Source: RNAcentral
CGUGAGACAGGUCGGUCUCUAUCCGCUGCCGGCGUAGGGGACUUGAGGGGAGCUGCCCCUAGUACGAGAGGACCGGGGUGGACGGACCUCUGGUGUGCCGGUUGUCGCGCCAGCGGCACCGCCGGGUAGCCAUGUCCGGAUGGGAUAACCGCUGAAAGCAUCUAAGCGGGAAGCCCACCCCAAGAUGAGGUCCCCCACUGGGAUAACCAGGUAAGGCCACCGGGAGACUACCGGUUCGAUAGGCCGCAGGUGGAAGCCCGGUAACGGGUGGAGCUGAGCGGUACUAAUUGGCCGAGGCCUUCCUCGCCCAU